RNAcentral lists this ribosomal RNA (264 nucleotides) under uncultured archaeon. Its description in RNAcentral is "partial 16S ribosomal RNA". It matches the Rfam family "Archaeal small subunit ribosomal RNA", at positions 718 to 982 of the family's 1478-position model. The record is from RNAcentral.
AGUCACUGACAUUAGAUACCCCGGUAGUCCAGGGUGUAAACGCUGCAGACUUGGUGUUGGAGGCCCUUUGGGGGCAUUCAGUGCCGGAGAGAAGUUGUUAAGUCUGCUACUUGGGGAGUACGUCCGCAAGGAUGAAACUUAAAGGAAUUGGCGGGGGAGCACCGCAACGGGAGGAGCGUGCGGUUUAAUUGGAUUCAACACCGUAAACUCACCAGGGAAGACUGUUACAUGAAGGCCGAGAUGAAGACUCUGCUAGAUUUUCAG